AGCUAAAACACUGGAAGAUGCACCAUUAACAAGAUAAUAGAGGCCACCUUUCUCAUGCCCCAAACCAAUCCUCGUCCCAGUCUGUAGAUCUUGAAAAACAUAGCACGUGGGAAAGAAUGUCAUAGAAUAAUUUUUAGAUUUGGUUAUUUGGCUAGUGGACAAAAGGCUAAUAAGGAAUUUUGGAACAUAAAGCACAUGAUCUAGAAAGUGAUGAGGAAGCACGAACAACUUCCUCACCUAGAACAGGACAAGAAGAGCCAUCAGCAACAGCAAC
This 274-nucleotide long non-coding RNA is filed under the name Elaeis guineensis (African oil palm). RNAcentral's name for it is "long non-coding RNA (EGUI_LNC044284)". Lineage: Eukaryota; Viridiplantae; Streptophyta; Magnoliopsida; Arecales; Arecaceae. The record is from RNAcentral.